Molecule: unclassified non-coding RNA, 252 nt
Filed under: Hevea brasiliensis (rubber tree)
Lineage: Eukaryota; Viridiplantae; Streptophyta; Magnoliopsida; Malpighiales; Euphorbiaceae
Source: RNAcentral
GGGUGGAUCAGGCCCUCGGCCUCGGAGUGAUCCGGCGGCGGCCGGAGGAUGCCGGAGUACUCGAGCAGGGCGGAGAGCGGCGCCUGGAUUAGGCUGGAUGUCGAGAACGGCAGGCCGAAGCGCCUCGACAAGCCGCCGCCGCUGCCGCCGGAGGAUUCCAUCUCCGACCGAUGAAAACCCUAAUCGGCGAGAGAAUUGGGGGGUUUUGGCAGGCCGGCAGGAUGCUUCUCUCUCCUCUCGACCGUCUCAAUU